CCCGCAUCCUGCCACAUCUACCCACAUAAUUUAGUGGGACCAAAUGGGCUGCCCACUUAAUUUAAGUGGGAUUAUGCGGGUUGCCACAAGCCCACAUACUCCGCAGCGACAAACACAACAAUUGCAAGCUAGCUGCAGUACAGAGUACAGGGCGUGUCCAGAGGCUACAAACAUACUGGAUCAAGGCAUGUACGACUAGGCCACAACGACGUCGAGGACAUGGGGAGGAGUAGGCGGCGUGCGUCCAGCUGCGAUUUUGGCAGGAACAGCUGCUACUGCUGCUCGGUCUGCUUGGUCGAUGGUGGCGUAACCAACACGGGCUCACUGAUGGCAAGAACUGGACAGGAGAACGACAACGUAUCGAGCCCGCCUGCAUGCGGCGUACGUAAGGCGCUUGUAGACAGCGAUGUUGUGGUGUUCAUGAUGGAAGUGGGCGAUGGUGCCGCGGCCACGGCGGCUCCGCCCUAAUCUCUUCUGCAUCAUCGCAGAGAUGUGGGUUUGACGCGGCGUCCGCGGGAUAACCCACAUAACCCACUUAUCUGGCUGGCCUAACCGUGGGUGUCCACGAACGCUAAUUAUGUGGGCUUUUAUGUGGGCAUCGCGGACAGCCCGCGUCCACUUGCAGCCUGA
Molecule: ribosomal RNA, 630 nt
Filed under: Triticum aestivum (bread wheat)
Lineage: Eukaryota; Viridiplantae; Streptophyta; Magnoliopsida; Poales; Poaceae
Description: partial small subunit ribosomal RNA
Source: RNAcentral